This 166-nucleotide non-coding RNA is filed under the name bovine gut metagenome. The record is from RNAcentral.
AUAUCGGUGGCCGCAGGGCCUCAAUAGGGAACCGAGUGAGAUUCUCGGACAGUACCCGCUGCUGUGAGUUCUUGCAGCGUCUGUUAGAAAGGCCACUGGCCUCGAUGAAUGUAGGCUGGGAAGGCAACAGGCGUAGGGAAUGAGUCAGAAGACCUGCCGAAAGUGU